This is a long non-coding RNA of Phyllopteryx taeniolatus (common seadragon), 1093 nucleotides long. RefSeq lists it as uncharacterized. The transcript has 4 exons. NCBI's taxonomy places the organism in Eukaryota, Metazoa, Chordata, Actinopteri, Syngnathiformes, Syngnathidae. The record is from RefSeq and is a predicted model, not a curated record.
GAAGGAUCUGCCUAUCCAAGAUGGCGGCUCGCGGCGGCACAGGGUUUCCUCCGCUGUGUACAAUGGACUUGAGGGACAAAGAGCACCACUCACUGGAGGAGGCCACCCUUACUCCACAUGAACAUUAUCUCACCUGUACAGCCACAUCUUCAGCAUCAGCAGGCUGGCCAGUGCGCAUGCGUAGUGUGGUCGGCUGCGGGAGGUGGCGCUGUUGCACAGGUCCGAGUCGCAGCAGUGGAUGCGGACGCCUGGCAGCUCCUGUUGUUGGCAGUGUCUGGAUGUGGCACAGCCGCUGGUCAGGACGAUGCCCAGUGCCGCUGCAUGGAUGGAUGGAUGGAUGGACGGAGAAGACAAAUCAGUCACAGAAGAGUUAAGCGGUGCUUGAAGCCCUUGUGCGAGUGGGUGCAGGUGAGCACCUCUGGAUUGGAGCAGCCCACGUCCACGUACCUCUGACCCUGGAUGAUGUUGCAGCCAUAGCACUGCAGACCCUCCACUGGGCGGGAGCACAUACGGAGAGAAAAGGACUUUCAAGAAAGGGAGUGGACCGAAUCCACCUUGGUGGGUUUAAGCGGGGAUUGUCUGUGAAUUCAGAACGAUCGCACACACCUGCGACUGACCGGCCAAAUCCUGCACACACAAGAUGGAAGAUCAGCUUUGGAGCUGAAACCAAUCCGCCCUCUUUAUCUGCGGCGGCCCGGGGAGGACACGAGCCUCUCACUUGCCUGGCCGCUGCUAAAUAGCCAAACCCAAAGCCGGGAUGGAGCUUUCAGGAGCGAACUAAUCCCGCCGCAAAUGCUCUUACAAAAAUCACUUUUGAAAAUCUGCUGGAAUCGGUGUAAAGCGUUGCCGGGACCGGAAGUUCCUGCCAGCCUUCAUGGGGAUGUGUCAUGUUUCCGCCCUGUUGGUGAUACAGUAGAUCAGGGGUCACCAUCAUGGUGCCCACCGGCACCAGGUCGCCCCCAAGAACCACAUGAGUAGUCCGCAGGCCUAUUCUAAAAAUAGCUCACCAUUAAUUGGACAGUAUGAGUUCCUAGUAAUGUUAGAAGUGAUCAUUUACAAAUGUAAUUUAUAGAAAUAAAGUGAUGCAUAUAGA